Non-coding RNA from Pelobates cultripes (western spadefoot toad), 227 nucleotides. Lineage: Eukaryota; Metazoa; Chordata; Amphibia; Anura; Pelobatidae. The record is from the annotation of a GenBank genome assembly.
GAGCCAGAAUGGACGCCUCUAGGGUUUAUGGCAGUGAGGCCAGCAGGGCGGCAUGAGGACAGGCCCAGCGGCCUUCUGGGUACGGGAAAUUUGGCCGUCAGUCGUGAUUGCAUAACUGCCAUAGAGGUAACUCUGUCGAUGUGAUACCUGGUGCGAGCAGCUGGGGGUCACAUACCGUGCAAGAGGGGGUCACCCAAUAAGCACAAGCAUACCAUGCAGUAUAGGCC